UCGCUUCGCGCCACGCCCGGAGACACGCGCCGUGCGGGCAGCCCCCCCGACUGCGCCGGCCCACAGCGCGACCAGCCGGCCCGCGGGGGCCAGGGACGACAGCACCUGCCCACCCUGCCCCAGAGAUAGCGCUUAGCUAGGCCGUGGCCUGAACAUAAAAUCGUUCAUCUGAAAUUUUUCCCGGUGGCUUACGUCGUGAGGGUCUUUUUUGCAUCUCUGAGGGCCACCACAAGCUGUGGGAUCUCUUGCCUAGACCCCUUGCAUCCAGGGAACCUUCUGAAAUGGCAAAAAUUUGAGGAAAACGGAGGAAAAAAUAAUAAUUGUCAAUGUGCAGAAAGGACCUUGCCCAACAGGACGGGGUAGUGCUGCCUUCCAGGGCACUGGGAUGAGAAGGUACAUCCCUGCUGUCUGGGCAGCUGACCAGACACAAUACUCGAGCAGGGAGAACGCCAGAGCAGAGAAGAAUAAAAACUGUAAAAGCCUUGUCUGAAAGCAAAGCAACAAUGUCGUGAAGACUUGCAGUUUUCUCAAAAGAAAAAUCUGUCCCCCUCCAUUCAAUCUUACCAGCAGAACAGCAACAUGUUGGUAAGGGAGCAGGACAACAUUUCGGCAGAACGCUUGAGGUCAUUCCCAAAUCGCUGCUCAGUGCUGCUGCCCAGCUUCCCAAAACAAACACAGACCCAGGCUCUGCUCUUUGGACUGCACCCCAGGCGGAUCACAGAACAUCCAGCUUGAGGGGGAGGAGAGCUGCCAGAACAAAAACCCGGAGGUGCUGAGCUCCAGUCAACUGCUGUCACGCUGUUCCCAGCUUAAUUCACCACCAGUGAUCCCUUGGUUAACAAAGUCAUUGUGGAUAUUUCUGCUAACAGCUCAACCCAACACAGUGUUGCAGAAGUUCUUUCCAGGGAUGACGUAUUUGGGCUUUUCUUCUUUAAAUACCUUGAGGUUAUCAUUCUCCAUAUGUGUAUGAAGUAGUAUGUGCCAUAUGCUCUUUGCCAGCGCCUAAAACAUCGCUAAGACCAGAAGAAGCUAUAAGACUAUUCUGACUAGGCCUGGGACUGAGCAGCACUCAUCCACUCCCAUGUUUACGCCUCUCUUUUUGACACAAGAGGCUUCCUCUCAUGGUGUUUCUCCCUUAUUCCAUUAGAAAAAAUGGAAUAGUAAAUAAUUGCUGUUAUAAGUAGGUUUUAAUUACUUUGUUCCAGUCAGAAAUAAUCAUUGCUUAUACACAGCUUUUUAAACAGCACAUUUCAAAAUGCCUCUUCUUGUCUCAGAGCACGGAGGAAUUGGGCUUGAUCUCUUUGGGAACUGAUCAUCACAGGCCUUGGAACAAGUGUCCUUUUGAAGUACUGACACUGACCAGGCAAGUGGAACACUCAAGGGUAUUUUUGAUAAAGGAGACGAGUGAACCCUCAUCAUUUUGUUUAUAAUGUAAUACAGUUAUAUAGCUAUGUUUUCCCAUCCAUACUAAAAACUAAAGAAGAAUGUUUGAGAUGAGGACGCCCAAUGGCUUUUGAAAGUAAGUAUGUAGAGAAGCACAGGUUUGUAGCGAUGGGUAGGUCAGCUGCCUGAGGAAGGCUGCAGGGGCCUCUUCUCUUGAUUCCUACUGGCCACUCUCCUCCACACGGUGCUCAGAAAACUGGGGCUGCAGAUGGACUCAGCCCCAGCAGCAGUCAGGAAAUGCCCUAUUCAAUUUAGUCUUCACAAAAAUCCACUAGCAACAGGUUAAUAACUGGAUAUAAGGCUCCUGAAUAAAUGAAGAUGUAUUUUCAGCUCCCUAUACAUCUCCUUUUUCCUACCUUUAAGAUACAUGGAGGCUCUAAAAAUAAAUUUAGAUUCUUUGGUAUAAUUCUGUACUACUUUGAAAAUAUUUGUACCAAAGGUGGUUAUUUGCCUGGGUAGGCAGGUUAAAAUGGAAUCUUCUCACAAGCUCCUGAGACUCAUUUCCAUCCUUGGGCCAGUUUUUUCAAGUACAAUUUUAACAUUUGUGUCAAAAACCCCUACAUGUGCAACAGAGUAUGCUCCAGAUCAGUAGCACACUGCUGAUGUUAUUUGAAACAGCAUCUUGAGCUCCACUGAAAAUUUGAUUCUAAUGGGCAUCAUCUAAUUAGGUAGUGGGAUAGGUAAAGUUCCAGUGAUAAAGAACUUACCAUAAUCCAUAUAAAAGCAGUUUAUUUAAAAGGAAGCUGACAACAGAGGAAAGAUGACCUACAGGGACAAAAAUGGACCUUUUAAAUCAUUCCAGAGCUAAAGCAUUACCAUAAACAGCUAGGUAGGCCCAGGAAGAACUGACUCAGCAGGAACCCCAGCAAAGCCGUUGGAGAACAGAUGUGCAAGUAUUCCAAGGCAACACAUCUCAAGUGCUUACAUCAGUAGUAGGAUAUCUCCUACAUAUUCAAAGCACAUAGCAGAAAUGUUAUGACCUAUCAGGAACUGUAAUCACUUGGUUAUAUACUCCGCAUUAUAUAUCAAGGUGAUCUUUUAUUUGGGGUAUUUAAACGCUGCAGUCUCCAGAAUGAAACUGCUGUCUUUCUAGCCCUGUAUGUUUUCUAAGCAGGAGGUGCUGCUUCAUUAUGACAGAAGUAACAAAGGUGCUCAGAUUGCUUAAAAUGCUAUUUGCUAGCAGUAGCACUACAGAAAAAAGGAAGGACAGUAUAGAAAAUCUUACAUCCCUUCAGAUCCCCAAGCUGUGCAGCAUUGAAUGGGCCUCUGAUCCACAUGCAGAUCCCGCCUGUGUAAGGGUCACUCCAUUUUGUUCAUUUGAACUAUUGCAGGAUUUUCUUACAAAAACCCAAAUCUGUUCAUCAUUUCUACUGUCAAGCAGAAAGGAUGUUCACAUGAGAACUUCUUGCUGCACUUUCAGAUAAAGGCAAGGACACACAAGUGGCGUAAUGGCCGGCACCAAGCGGGAGCUGCCUGAAGGCUUCUCUGCUGUGGUUACCCGGCCAAGUUCCUGCAGCCCGGGAAAAAGUGCAGCACAACCAAGGGACAGCACAGCACAGGCCUGGGCAUGUUCAGGUUGUUGACUGUUCCGUACAUCACUGACUCCUCAAUGUGCAACAGUUUCCUGGUCUGGAUGAUUACAGGCAACUAUUAGAAACACUAUGCAGAUGAAACUUUUACACGAAACACUAUGUUUGCAAGUUUUAUUGCACUCCCUUAAAAGCAUUAUUCAGAAGCAUCUUAAGUGCACAGUCAGGUCACUGUUCAUUUCUUAAGUGUGGAAUUGCUUUCCAGAGUUAUUCCACAAUUUGUAAGUCUCACUACACAUUUUUCUUGUAUUUCCUCUCUGUGUCCAAGCUUAACUCACACCAAGUGCUGGCUAUCUCAGACUUACACAUCAGAGAAGGCCUAGAUAAUUAAAAGUUUUCUGUCAAAUGAACUUGAUGAUCAUCAAAUAUUACGCUUGAACUUUACCUGAGUGAAAGCAGCCACGCUACACAGUCAGAUCCGGUUAGGUUUACUCAGCUCUCCAUCCUUGAUGCACAUGCUGACCAAGGGAGGUUGAAAGGAAGCUCCGGAGGUCACCUCAUUCAUCCACCCCAGCUCUAAUGUGUUGGGUUCAGAUUGAGCUUCCAGCUCUUGGGUAUAGGAGAGCAGCUUUCUCAGAGGCAAUUUAUUCUCUGAGCACUUAAUAACGCAGGGCUCCUUUCUCUGGAGAAGACAGUGGUAUCAACUGCCAGAGACACUGUACUGACUAUGUGAACCACUGGCUGAUUCAACACAGCAAUCCUUAUGACCCUAGGAGGGGAGGUACCAGCUGCAUUCGCACAUGCAGAUUUAUAUUUCGGGAGAUGUAGAAGUAUUUCUAAGCAGCGAUUUAGAAUUCACUCCCGAUGUCUUUAUUAAACACAUAAACACCUAGUUGUUUUGAAACCUUCAAAGCUCAUGACUUCAACAUUUUGAGGUAGUUAUUUUGGUAAUGCAUUUAGUUCCAACAUGUCUUUCUUGUUUGUCCAUUUCAAUUCAGUCAGAUUUGUUUGCUCUCAUGGCCCUUUAUAUUAACCAUUAAGGCCAAUUUUUUCCAGUCUACAGCUGAAAGGUUUCAAUGAAAACCCAUUAUUACUUCAGAUGAACUAUCAAGUUUCUAAAAUAGCCUUUUAUAUGCACAAAAUUAUAUUCUAUCUCAUUCCUUAGGAGUUUUUAAUUUUCAUUUUUUUAUGACUGUGGAACCUGGAGAAUGCAUGUCUGCGAAUUGUUCACAGAGAACUCUUUUUAGAGCACGUUAAUUUAGAAUCCAGUGGGAUAUAUUAAUAGCAUACACUCGAAUGUCAUGUUAAAAAUAAACUUGUCUUUCUGAUGCUUUCAUUCAUGCUGCCUGACUUGUCUCCCUGAUGAUUCUUCUCUGUUGACGAACCUGAAGAGAUUUUGUGCUACCAUCAAAUUUGCCACCUGCCAGCUCAUCUCAGCACCUCUGUAGUCUGGGAUGGAGUCUGUUAACCAGUGCUGUCUUUUUGGCAUGAAAACCUAAAUAGUUAUCCUCACCCUCGUUUUCUCAUAGCCAGUCUCUGUUCUGUGGCAAUACUUUUCCAUCACAUUCACGUAAACUGUGCUUGGAAUGCUACCGGGUUUAUAUACAAUUUUACAGCCCAAAUAAAGGACUCUGUAGAUCAAAA
Columba livia (rock pigeon) is the source of this 4616-nucleotide long non-coding RNA. RefSeq lists it as uncharacterized. NCBI's taxonomy places the organism in Eukaryota, Metazoa, Chordata, Aves, Columbiformes, Columbidae. The transcript has 2 exons. The record is from RefSeq and is a predicted model, not a curated record.